Molecule: long non-coding RNA, 821 nt
Organism: Pristis pectinata (smalltooth sawfish)
Lineage: Eukaryota; Metazoa; Chordata; Chondrichthyes; Rhinopristiformes; Pristidae
Exons: 2
Source: RefSeq, a predicted model, not a curated record
AGAAAGGGAAUAUGCCGUUCUGGACCAUAAAGAACAGCUGGGGAAGCAAUUGGGGAGAGCAGGGAUACUUCCGCAUCUACAGAGGAGAGGAGGCUUGCGGAUUGAACAAGCUCCCCCUCACCGCUAUCGUCUAGUCGGGGGGUGUCUGAGGCGGGUCGCAGGCAGCCCUGGGCGAUUCGAGGUGACCAGGCGUCAGGAGGAAGACCUCCGCUUCUCGCAGCUUAGCACGGCGUUUCUGUACAAGUGGGACCCCCUCCCCUCCCCUCCCCUGCCCGUUCACCCCCUCACCUCCUCUCCCCAGUUCCAUUCCAGUGGUGGCCCCCAGUCACUCGCAGAGCUCACAGCGCCCCCCGCUCCCCCCGACUAACGCACCCACAGCCCACACCGCUCCCAUCAGCGGUCCCAUCCCAGUGGGGACCACCCGGUGCUGUCAGGAGACCACCCCAGCUAAUCGGAGCCCCCGGGAUGAACCUCACCAAUCAGAGACCCCAGGGCUGUGUGAGGGGGACCGGACGGCAGCAACUGCUUCAAUGGAAUGGAUUCCCCUUGGGAGAGGAGUGUCCCAUUGGAAUUCCGGCUGGGAGGAAGGGAUGGGUUCAAGGCAACACUUCCCAUUGGCUCCCAGCUGGAAUGGUUUCCACCGGGACUGGGUGGACUCCCUGCAACAUCCGUUGUUGGCCAGCGGAUGAUCCACUGGAAUGGUUUUCCCUGGGGAAGAGAUGGGUCCAUUUUCCUGGUGUUUUCCGACGUGAUUUGACCGCGGUUGAACCAGUUCUGCGUCUCGGGCUUUUGCAUUGACACAAUAAAGCAGCUCAAGCAUC